This 465-nucleotide ribosomal RNA is filed under the name uncultured bacterium. RNAcentral describes it as "partial 16S ribosomal RNA". It matches the Rfam family "Bacterial small subunit ribosomal RNA", at positions 28 to 507 of the family's 1533-position model. The record is from RNAcentral.
GACGAACGCUGGCGGCGUGCUUAACACAUGCAAGUCGUACGGUAAGGCCCUUUCGGGGGUACACGAGUGGCGAACGGGUGAGUAACACGUGAGUAACCUGCCCACAACUUUGGGAUAACGCUAGGAAACUGGGGCUAAUACUGGAUAUGUGCUCCUGCUGCAUGGUGGGGGUUGGAAAGCUCCGGCGGUUUUGGAUGGACUCGCGGCCUAUCAGCUUGUUGGUGGGGUAGUGGCCUACCAAGGCGGCGACGGGUAGCCGGACUGAGAGGGUGACCGGCCACCUUGGGACUGAGAUACGGCCCAGAUGCCUACGGGUGGAAGCAGGGCGAAAUAUUGCACAAUGGGCGCAAGCCUGAUGCAGCAGCGCCGCGUGCGGGAUAGCGGCCUUCGGGUUGUAAACCGCUUUCAGCAGGGACGAAGCUUUUUGUGACGGUACCUGCAGAAGAAGCACCGGCUAACUACGUG